GACGAACGCUGGCGGCGUGCCUAAUACAUGCAAGUCGAACGCUUCUUUCCUCCCGAGUGCUUGCACUCAAUUGGAAAGAGGAGUGGCGGACGGGUGAGUAACACGUGGGUAACCUACCCAUCAGAGGGGGAUAACACUUGGAAACAGGUGCUAAUACCGCAUAACAGUUUAUGCCGCAUGGCAUAAGAGUGAAAGGCGCUUUCGGGUGUCGCUGAUGGAUGGACCCGCGGUGCAUUAGCUAGUUGGUGAGGUAACGGCUCACCAAGGCCACGAUGCAUAGCCGACCUGAGAGGGUGAUCGGCCACACUGGGACUGAGACACGGCCCAGACUCCUACGGGAGGCAGCAGUAGGGAAUCUUCGGCAAUGGACGAAAGUCUGACCGAGCAACGCCGCGUGAGUGAAGAAGGUUUUCGGAUCGUAAAACUCUGUUGUUAGAGAAGAACAAGGACGUUAGUAACUGAACGUCCCCUGACGGUAUCUAACCAGAAAGCCACGGCUAAAUACGU
RNAcentral lists this ribosomal RNA (507 nucleotides) under uncultured bacterium. RNAcentral's name for it is "partial 16S ribosomal RNA". It matches the Rfam family "Bacterial small subunit ribosomal RNA", at positions 28 to 506 of the family's 1533-position model. The record is from RNAcentral.